AUUGAACGCUGGCGGCAUGCUUUACACAUGCAAGUCGAACGGCAGCGCGGGCUUCGGCCUGGCGGCGAGUGGCGAACGGGUGAGUAAUGCAUCGGAACGUGCCCAGUAGUGGGGGAUAGCCCGGCGAAAGCCGGAUUAAUACCGCAUACGACCUGAGGGUGAAAGCGGGGGACCGAAAGGCCUCGCGCUAUUGGAGCGGCCGAUGUCGGAUUAGCUAGUUGGUGGGGUAAAGGCUUACCAAGGCGACGAUCCGUAGCUGGUCUGAGAGGACGACCAGCCAAACUGGGACUGAGACACGGCCCAGACUCCUACGGGAGGCAGGAGGGGGGAAUUUUGGACAAUGGGGGCAACCCUGAUCCAGCCAUGCCGCGUGCGGGAAGAAGGCCUUCGGGUUGUAAACCGCUUUUGUUCGGGAAGAAAACCUCUGGGCUAAUACCCCGGGGGGAUGACGGUACCGGAAGAAUAAGCACCGGCUAACUACGUG
This 484-nucleotide ribosomal RNA is filed under the name uncultured bacterium. RNAcentral describes it as "partial 16S ribosomal RNA". It matches the Rfam family "Bacterial small subunit ribosomal RNA", at positions 29 to 507 of the family's 1533-position model. The record is from RNAcentral.